GUGCUCACUUCGGCAGCACCUACCCUAAAAUUGGGAUGCUACACAGAAGGCCGGCAUGGCCGCAGCGGAAGGAUGACAUGCAAAGGUGUGCAGUGUUCUGUAAUUUU
Small nuclear RNA from Callithrix jacchus (white-tufted-ear marmoset), 107 nucleotides. The record is from Ensembl. Lineage: Eukaryota; Metazoa; Chordata; Mammalia; Primates; Cebidae.